GAUGAACGCUGGCGGCGUGCCUAAUACAUGCAAGUCGAGCGAACGGACGAGAAGCUUGCUUCUCUGAUGUUAGCGGCGGACGGGUGAGUAACACGUGGAUAACCUACCUAUAAGACUGGGAUAACUUCGGGAAACCGGAGCUAAUACCGGAUAAUAUUUUGAACCGCAUGGUUCAAAAGUGAAAGACGGUCUUGCUGUCACUUAUAGAUGGAUCCGCGCUGCAUUAGCUAGUUGGUAAGGUAACGGCUUACCAAGGCAACGAUGCAUAGCCGACCUGAGAGGGUGAUCGGCCACACUGGAACUGAGACACGGUCCAGACUCCUACGGGAGGCAGCAGUAGGGAAUCUUCCGCAAUGGGCGAAAGCCUGACGGAGCAACGCCGCGUGAGUGAUGAAGGUCUUCGGAUCGUAAAACUCUGUUAUUAGGGAAGAACAUAUGUGUAAGUAACUGUGCACAUCUUGACGGUACCUAAUCAGAAAGCCACGGCUAACUACGUGCCAGCAGCCGCGGUAAUACGUAGGUGGCAAGCGUUAUCCGGAAUUAUUGGGCGUAAAGCGCGCGUAGGCGGUUUUUUAAGUCUGAUGUGAAAGCCCACGGCUCAACCGUGGAGGGUCAUUGGAAACUGGAAAACUUGAGUGCAGAAGAGGAAAGUGGAAUUCCAUGUGUAGCGGUGAAAUGCGCGGAGAUAUGGAGGAACACCAGUGGCGAAGGCGACUUUCUGGUCUGUAACUGACGCUGAUGUGCGAAAGCGUGGGGAUCAAACAGGAUUAGAUACCCUGGUAGUCCACGCCGUAAACGAUGAGUGCUAAGUGUUAGGGGGUUUCCGCCCCUUAGUGCUGCAGCUAACGCAUUAAGCACUCCGCCUGGGGAGUACGACCGCAAGGUUGAAACUCAAAGGAAUUGACGGGGACCCGCACAAGCGGUGGAGCAUGUGGUUUAAUUCGAAGCAACGCGAAGAACCUUACCAAAUCUUGACAUCCUUUGACAACUCUAGAGAUAGAGCCUUCCCCUUCAGGGGACAAAGUGACAGGUGGUGCAUGGUUGUCGUCAGCUCGUGUCGUGAGAUGUUGGGUUAAGUCCCGCAACGAGCGCAACCCUUAAGCUUAGUUGCCAUCAUUAAGUUGGGCACUCUAAGUUGACUGCCGGUGACAAACCGGAGGAAGGUGGGGAUGACGUCAAAUCAUCAUGCCCCUUAUGAUUUGGGCUACACACGUGCUACAAUGGACAAUACAAAGGGCAGCGAAACCGCGAGGUCAAGCAAAUCCCAUAAAGUUGUUCUCAGUUCGGAUUGUAGUCUGCAACUCGACUACAUGAAGCUGGAAUCGCUAGUAAUCGUAGAUCAGCAUGCUACGGUGAAUACGUUCCCGGGUCU
Molecule: ribosomal RNA, 1372 nt
Filed under: uncultured bacterium
Lineage: Bacteria
Description: bacterial SSU rRNA
Rfam family: Bacterial small subunit ribosomal RNA
Source: RNAcentral